Molecule: ribosomal RNA, 763 nt
Filed under: uncultured bacterium
Lineage: Bacteria
Description: bacterial SSU rRNA
Rfam family: Bacterial small subunit ribosomal RNA
Source: RNAcentral
AACAGGAUUAGAUACCCUGGUAGUCCAUGCCGUAAACGAUGAGUGCUAGGUGUCGGGGGUCAAACCUCGGUGCCGGAGCUAACGCAUUAAGCACUCCGCCUGGGGAGUACGUACGCAAGUAUGAAACUCAAAGGAAUUGACGGGGACCCGCACAAGCAGCGGAGCAUGUGGUUUAAUUCGAAGCAACGCGAAGAACCUUACCAGGACUUGACAUGGUAUUGACCGGUCUAGAGAUAGAUCCUUCCCUUCGGGGACAAUACACACAGGUGGUGCAUGGUUGUCGUCAGCUCGUGUCGUGAGAUGUUGGGUUAAGUCCUGUAACGAGCGCAACCCUUGUCUUUAGUUGCUAACAGGUAAUGCUGAGCACUCUAGAGAGACUGCCGAUGAUAAAUCGGAGGAAGGUGGGGAUGACGUCAAAUCAUCAUGCCCUUUAUGUCCUGGGCUACACACGUGCUACAAUGGUCGGUACAACGAGGAGCUACACAGUGAUGUGAUGCAAAUCUCUUAAAGCCGAUCCCAGUUCGGAUUGCAGGCUGCAACUCGCCUGCAUGAAGUCGGAGUUGCUAGUAAUCGUAGAUCAGAAUGCUGCGGUGAAUGCGUUCCCGGGUCUUGUACACACCGCCCGUCACACCAUGGAAGUUGGAAAUGCCCGAAGCCAGUGAGCUAACCGUUUACGGAGGCAGCUGUCGAAGGUAGGGUCAAUGACUAGGGUGAAGUCGUAACAAGGUAGCCGUAUCGGAAGGUGCGGCUGGAUCACCUCCUU